GCCGAGGAAGCAGAAGGUUCAUUAUAUGGUCCUGGAAUAGAUGAUUAUGUAUGAACCAGUCAAAAGCUACAGUGAUCACCGCAAGACACCUUUUUUUUCAGGACCUCUGGGAAAACCGCCAUCACACGCUUAAAAAUCAAUAUUUUUGCAUAAAAAUUUUUUGUAAUACUCUUAGAAUAUACGUCUGUCAUAUGCUGAAA
Linepithema humile (Argentine ant) is the source of this 200-nucleotide non-coding RNA. Lineage: Eukaryota; Metazoa; Arthropoda; Insecta; Hymenoptera; Formicidae. The record is from RefSeq and is a predicted model, not a curated record.